RNAcentral lists this long non-coding RNA (516 nucleotides) under Nicotiana benthamiana. RNAcentral describes it as "long non-coding RNA (NBEN_LNC036076)". The record is from RNAcentral. Lineage: Eukaryota; Viridiplantae; Streptophyta; Magnoliopsida; Solanales; Solanaceae.
CAGUGAAGGAAAUGAACAACAAAAACAAAAACAACAACAAAAGAACAUUAGUAGAUUCAGCAGAAAUAGCAUAAAUAAUUAUCUAAACAUAGGAACUAAUAAUAAAUAAUAAAAAUAAAUAAAUAGAUAAAUAAAUAAAUAAAAUAAAAUAGCAUGCAACGAUAUCAGACAGUAACUACCAUAAAUAACUACAAUAAGAGAGACACAAUCCAAUACACAAAUCAUCUAUGGAUAGCUCUGCCAAGCCUCACCCAACCCCGCGUGAGGAGUACGAAAAACUCUAUGGGCCCCUAUCCUACAACCCUGAUACUAGACCUCCAGACUUUUCUAUCAAGGGCCAUGUCCUCAGAAACCCGCAUUCUAGCCAUGUCUGGGCCCCUAUCCUACAACCCUGAUACUAGACCUCCAGACUUUCCUAUCAAGGGCCAUGUCCUCAGAAACCCGUACCUUUCAGCUAUUUCAUCUUAUCUAUUUCUAUUUCGUAUAUUGCUGCUAUUUUGUUAUUUUAUGUUAUAU